UACGUAGGGUGCAGGCGUUAAUCGGAAUCACUGGGCGUAAAGGGUGCGUAGGCGGCCGUGCAAGUCUGGCGUGAAAGCCCCGGGCUCAGCCCGGGAAGUGCGCUCGAAACUGCGCGGCUCGAGUGCCGGAGGGGAGAGUGGAAUUCCUGGUGUAGCGGUGAAAUGCGUAGAUAUCAGGAGGAAUACCGGUGGCGAAAGCGACUCUCUGGACCAGCACUGACACUGAGGCACGAAAGCGUGGGGAGCAAACAGG
RNAcentral lists this ribosomal RNA (253 nucleotides) under uncultured bacterium. RNAcentral describes it as "partial 16S ribosomal RNA". It matches the Rfam family "Bacterial small subunit ribosomal RNA", at positions 524 to 776 of the family's 1533-position model. The record is from RNAcentral.